CCUACGGGGGGCAGCAGUGGGGAAUAUUGGACAAUGGGGGGAACCCUGAUCCAGCCAUGCCGCGUGUGUGAAGAAGGCCCUCAGGUUGUAAAGCACUUUCAGUGAGGAAGAACGCCUGGUGGUUAAUACCCAUCAGGAAAGACAUCACUCACAGAAGAAGCACCGGCUAACUCCGUGCCAGCAGCCGCGGUAAUACGGAGGGUGCGAGCGUUAAUCGGAAUUACUGGGCGUAAAGCGCGCGUAGGUGGCUUGAUAAGCCGGUUGUGAAAGCCCCGGGCUCAACCUGGGAACGGCAUCCGGAACUGUCAAGCUAGAGUGCAGGAGAGGAAGGUAGAAUUCCCGGUGUAGCGGUGAAAUGCGUAGAGAUCGGGAGGAAUACCAGUGGCGAAGGCGGCCUUCUGGACUGACACUGACACUGAGGUGCGAAAGCGUGGGUAGCAAACAGGAUUAGAUACCCCGGUAGUC
Molecule: ribosomal RNA, 465 nt
Filed under: Vreelandella stevensii
Lineage: Bacteria; Pseudomonadati; Pseudomonadota; Gammaproteobacteria; Oceanospirillales; Halomonadaceae
Description: partial 16S ribosomal RNA
Rfam family: Bacterial small subunit ribosomal RNA
Source: RNAcentral